UAGGGAAUCUUCCACAAUGGACGAAAGUCUGAUGGAGCAACGCCGCGUGAGUGAAGAAGGUUUUCGGAUCGUAAAGCUCUGUUGUUGGUGAAGAAGGAUAGAGGCAGUAACUGGUCUUUAUUUGACGGUAAUCAACCAGAAAGUUACGGCUAACUACGUGCCAG
Molecule: ribosomal RNA, 164 nt
Filed under: uncultured bacterium
Lineage: Bacteria
Description: partial 16S rRNA
Rfam family: Bacterial small subunit ribosomal RNA
Source: RNAcentral